This is an RNA transcript of Lotus japonicus, 2942 nucleotides long. It is a transcript of the gene named carbon catabolite repressor protein 4 homolog 5, with no coding region annotated. Lineage: Eukaryota; Viridiplantae; Streptophyta; Magnoliopsida; Fabales; Fabaceae. The transcript is spliced from 18 exons. The record is from RefSeq and is a predicted model, not a curated record.
UACUCUAACUCUAACCCUGUACCCAUCGUCGCGUCAUUCACCUGCACCUGGCCUGGUUUGCGGCAAAUCGCCACCGUCUCCGUCUCCCGCAGGAACCUUGCUCCUCGUGCCGCAGCCUCCACAUCGCCGUCUCCGCCGUCGUUUCACAGAGCAUUGCCUUCUCCUCGAUAGUGUACCUCGUGUCAUGAAGCUUUCGGAGCGAAUACGUAACCGGACUCGUACCUCGCCGCAGUUACCCAGCGGCGACAUAGUGCGCCGCCGUAAACGCCAAAGUCUGCCGCCACCUGGGAAUUCUAGCGGUCGCCAUCAUCGGUCAAAGCGGAUGAGACAUUCUGAGUCCGAUCAUUCGGGCUUAAACUGCGGAGUGUUUUCUAGGAGAUGGGUUUUCUCUUCCAAAGAUUGUUCUAAUUGCAUGGAUAAGGUUGUAGUUGUUUCAUACAAUAUACUUGGUGUUGAGAAUGCAUCUAGGCAUCUGGAUUUGUAUUCUAACAUUCCACGUAGUUUCUUAGCGUGGGACAGGCGGAAAAGUCUCAUACUUGAAGAAAUUAAUCAUUAUAAUGCAAGCAUACUGUGUUUCCAGGAGGUUGAUCAUUUUAAUGAUUUGGAUGGUCUUUUCCAGAACAAUGGCUUUAAAGGUGUUUACAAGGCUCGCACAGGGGGAGCACGUGAUGGUUGUGCUAUAUUUUGGAAAGACAAAUUAUUUAAUCUUUUGCAUCAAGAAGAUAUAGAGUUUCAGAGAUUUGGCCUGCGUAACAAUGUAGCUCAACUUUGUGUUUUUGAGGUAAACCGUGAUAGACCAGAAUCCGACACAUGUGAAUUAACAGCAGUGACGCCAUCUUCCGGUAAAAAAAGAUUUAUAGUAGGAAAUAUACAUGUGCUGUUCAACCCAAAUCGUGGCGACAUCAAACUGGGCCAGGUCAGACUCUUACUUGAUAAAGCCUACAAGUUGUCACAAGAAUGGGGCAACAUCCCUGUUAUUAUUGCUGGGGAUUUAAAUAGUCUUCCACAGAGUGCAAUAUAUAAGUUUGUGUCUUCAUCCAAGCUAGACAUCCAAUUUCAUAAUCGCAAAAACAUGUCAGGUCAGCUUGAAAUCCAGUCCAAUGAUAGGAUCUUCAGAUCAGAGAUUGGUGAUGAUGCUAGCAUUUCAGUGUCGGUUUCAAGGCAAUUGCUACACAAAUGGAAUGUAGAAGAACUAAGGCUUGCAACUGGUGCAGAAGGAGUCACUCAUCUUCAGCACCAUCUCAAGCUAUGCAGUGCUUAUAGUGGUGUUCCGGGAAACCAGAGAACAAGAGAUGAUAUUGGUGAGCCCUUGGCGACAUCAUACCACUCCAAGUUUAUGGGAACAGUUGAUUAUAUCUGGCAUUCUGAGGAACUUACUCCAGUUAGAGUUCUCGAAACCUUACCGAUUGAUAUUCUUAGAAGAACUAGAGGACUCCCUAAUGAGAAAUGGGGAAGCGAUCACCUCGCUGUUGUGUGUGAAUUGGCGUUCACAAACAAUGAUAAUUUGUCAUGAUUGCUUCAUCAGGACCUCUCUUGCUCUGAUAAUUCUUUUCAUAGUAAAGGGCUUCAUGAGACCGAACUGUGAAUUUCACCUAAUGAUUUGAAACAAACAUCAUGUUGCAACUGAUCUCAAGUUCUCCUUCCUAGUUGAAAUGUUUCUUGGAAGUGCUUUACAAUCCAUCAGGGUAUUUAACCAGAGCAAACCUGAUUUUUAACCACCGGUUAUCAGGUUCAAAGAACAGUUGGUCUAUAUCUAAAAUAUAUACAUGCUGAGAGUCAAAUUGAGUCCCAUUAUCAAUAAUCCUUUGGAGCCUUUUCACCAUAUCUGCAACACCUUCAGAUGUAUAUCCGUGGCAGAGGAAAUAUUGAAUACCUCAUCGAUUGGCGACCUAAGCCUGACACCAUUGAGGCAUUAACCCACAUCAUGCCUAAGGGGAUGUUGAAAACUCCACGGUGAUGACAUGUGGUGAAUUCCAUGUAGGAAGACACCAUCAACAAUUUGCUAUUCCACAACCACAAAAUUAAGGGAGAUAGCAUCCUAGAAAUGUUACUCUGACCUCUGAAAUAAAUUCGUAUUUAUGAACUCCCCUUUUCCGUAGCGAGAUAAGAACGUGACAAAAUACUUCCACCUUGAAGUGGGUAUAGCAAGACCUGGAUCUCUUCAGCACUUGAAAGUGGAAGUCAGUCGAGGAUGUUGAACAUCAUUAGCAAACAAUGGAAGAAGGAAGAAUAAUUAAGAGUUGAUCUAACUCUUUUUGAAGUGGGUAUGGCAAGUAUGUUGCUAGGGAAGAUCAAAGUUGAUCUAACUCUUUGAGACCAAUGCCUUUGUUGAAGAAGCAAUUGCCUUAAGAGUUCUACGAACUAGAAGAACUCCUCAAAUCUCUAGUGUGACCACUACGACAAACCAUAUCACACCCGAGAAAAGCAAAAUCCAUGGGAGACUGUCACAUCUAAAGGGUAGCAAAUUUGGUCCUAAAGCUCCAAGACCUUCCUUGCAGCUCGUGAGGUUGAGGAGACUCCUUUGACUUCUUAAAGAAAGUCUAUCAGGUCCAGAUGCAGUAUGAAGUUCACGGUCAAUCAUUGCAUUUUCAGGAUCAGAGUUCAGGGAAGAUGAGUCGCAGUGACAAGAGGAUGGAUGAUCGUCUAUUUUGUGUAUGCUUUCGAGAAUAAAGUAGAUCAGUGGUAUGAGUCCAUUUCUUGUGGUAGACUAAACAAUGCUCUUUAUAUAGAGGAAAUCGGGGGAGUCGACAGGGUGUCGUAGAUCAUUAAAGCUCUUAGAGUUGGUGAAUGUUUUUUUUUGUAUUAGUUAUUAUGUUUCCUUUCUUAGCUUUAGACAUUUUCAAGCAAUUCUUUACAUAAAUGUAUUCAUUCUUAACUUAGGAUGUGUUUCCUGAUUUUGUCAAUUACUUUUUGUAAUUCCCACUAAAAGAGGAACCGUGCAA